GGUCGCUUAGCUCAGUUGGUAGAGCGCCACCCUUACAAGGUGGAUGUCAUAAGUUCGAGUCUUAUAGCUG
This 70-nucleotide transfer RNA is filed under the name Campylobacter jejuni. RNAcentral describes it as "tRNA-Val". It matches the Rfam family "tRNA". From Rfam's summary of the family: Transfer RNA (tRNA) molecules are approximately 80 nucleotides in length. Their secondary structure includes four short double-helical elements and three loops (D, anti-codon, and T loops). Lineage: Bacteria; Pseudomonadati; Campylobacterota; Epsilonproteobacteria; Campylobacterales; Campylobacteraceae. The record is from RNAcentral.